ACGCAAUUCUACUUCCAUUUUCAUCGUUUUGGACCGUUUAAAUUCAAAUUUGUUCGGUUCGUUUGCCAUUUUCAACGUUAGGGAAGAGUUUUUACCGAUCAAAAUCGUCAAACUUCCACUUCGUCGUUCCUCUCGCCAUUUAAAGUUUCGGCCUGCCAUUCUCCGCCGUCAAGAUCCUAUCUGCCACGCCCCUUCCUCCUCGCUGCCCUCAUUCUGGGUAUUGCCUUUGAUGCUCUUUGUCGUUUUUGCUUCCUUGAAUGUUUGAAUU
RNAcentral lists this long non-coding RNA (268 nucleotides) under Vigna radiata. Its description in RNAcentral is "long non-coding RNA (VRAD_LNC011654)". Lineage: Eukaryota; Viridiplantae; Streptophyta; Magnoliopsida; Fabales; Fabaceae. The record is from RNAcentral.